UGCUAAGGCGGUCUCUGGCGUCGCCCAUUUUAUUCUUCAAACUUUGACCUCAAAUCAGGUAGGACUACCCGCUGAACUUAAGCAUAUCAAUAAGCGGAGGAAAAGAAACCAACAGGGAUUGCCUCAGUAGCGGCGAGUGAAGCGGCAAAAGCUCAAAUUUGAAAUCUGGCGUCUUUGGCGUCCGAGUUGUAAUUUGAAGAAGGUAUCUUUGGGCCCGGCUCUUGUCUAUGUUCCUUGGAACAGGA
RNAcentral lists this ribosomal RNA (245 nucleotides) under Candida dubliniensis. Its description in RNAcentral is "partial 28S ribosomal RNA". The stretch from base 45 to 245 matches the Rfam family "Eukaryotic large subunit ribosomal RNA", at positions 1 to 200 of the family's 3401-position model. The record is from RNAcentral. Lineage: Eukaryota; Fungi; Ascomycota; Pichiomycetes; Serinales; Debaryomycetaceae.